UCGAGAAUUUUUCUCAAUGGGCGCAAGCCUGAAGGAGCGACGCCGCGUGGAGGAUGAAGGUUUUCGGAUUGUAAACUCCUGUCAUUGGUGAACAAGACCGCCGGUUAACUGCCGGUUGGUUUGCUAGUAGCCGAAGAGGAAGGGACGGCUAACUCUGUGCCAGCAGCCGCGGUAAUACAGAGGUCCCGAGCGUUGUUCGGAUUCAUUGGGCGUAAAGGGUGCGUAGGCGGCGGGGCCAGUCUGAUGUGAAAUCCCCGGGCUCAACCCGGGAACUGCAUUGGAUACUGCCUUGCUAGAGUACUGGAGAGGGAACUGGAAUUUACGGUGUAGCAGUGAAAUGCGUAGAGAUCGUAAGGAAGGCCAGUGGCGAAGGCGAGUUCCUGGACAGUGACUGACGCUGAGGCACGAAGGCCAGGGGAGCAAACGG
RNAcentral lists this ribosomal RNA (427 nucleotides) under uncultured bacterium. RNAcentral's name for it is "bacterial SSU rRNA". It matches the Rfam family "Bacterial small subunit ribosomal RNA", at positions 355 to 775 of the family's 1533-position model. The record is from RNAcentral.